Molecule: unclassified non-coding RNA, 339 nt
Filed under: soil metagenome
Description: partial contains 5.8S ribosomal RNA, internal transcribed spacer 2, and large subunit ribosomal RNA
Rfam family: 5.8S ribosomal RNA (bases 1-120)
Source: RNAcentral
GAUGAAGAACGUAGCGAAAUGCGAUACGUAGUGUGAAUUGCAGAAUUCAGUGAAUCAUCGAAUCUUUGAACGCACAUUGCACCUCUCGGUAUUCCGGGAGGUAUGCCUGUUCGAGCGUCAUUUGUACCCUCAAGCUCUGCUUGGUGUUGGGUGUUUGUUCCGCCUCUGUGUGUGAACUCGCCUCAAAACAAUUGGCAGCCGGCGUACUUGUUUCGGAGCGCAGCACAUUUUGCGAUCCAGAUCAACGUACAGCGGCAUCCAAGAAGCCUUAUUUAACGCUCUUGACCUCGGAUCAGGUAGGGAUACCCGCUGAAUUUAAGCAUAUCAAUAAGCGGAGGA